Molecule: ribosomal RNA, 671 nt
Filed under: Variovorax paradoxus
Lineage: Bacteria; Pseudomonadati; Pseudomonadota; Betaproteobacteria; Burkholderiales; Comamonadaceae
Description: bacterial SSU rRNA
Rfam family: Bacterial small subunit ribosomal RNA
Source: RNAcentral
UGCAAGUCGAACGGCAGCGCGGGAGCAAUCCUGGCGGCGAGUGGCGAACGGGUGAGUAAUACAUCGGAACGUGCCCAAUCGUGGGGGAUAACGCAGCGAAAGCUGUGCUAAUACCGCAUACGAUCUACGGAUGAAAGCAGGGGAUCGCAAGACCUUGCGCGAAUGGAGCGGCCGAUGGCAGAUUAGGUAGUUGGUGAGGUAAAGGCUCACCAAGCCUUCGAUCUGUAGCUGGUCUGAGAGGACGACCAGCCACACUGGGACUGAGACACGGCCCAGACUCCUACGGGAGGCAGCAGUGGGGAAUUUUGGACAAUGGGCGAAAGCCUGAUCCAGCCAUGCCGCGUGCAGGAUGAAGGCCUUCGGGUUGUAAACUGCUUUUGUACGGAACGAAACGGCCUUUUCUAAUAAAGAGGGCUAAUGACGGUACCGUAAGAAUAAGCACCGGCUAACUACGUGCCAGCAGCCGCGGUAAUACGUAGGGUGCAAGCGUUAAUCGGAAUUACUGGGCGUAAAGCGUGCGCAGGCGGUUAUGUAAGACAGUUGUGAAAUCCCCGGGCUCAACCUGGGAACUGCAUCUGUGACUGCAUAGCUAGAGUACGGUAGAGGGGGAUGGAAUUCCGCGUGUAGCAGUGAAAUGCGUAGAUAUGCGGAGGAACACCGAUGGCGAAGCA